GUUGAACGCUGGCGGCAUGCUUUACACAUGCAAGUCGAACGGCAGCGCGGGGCAACCUGGCGGCGAGUGGCGAACGGGUGAGUAAUAUAUCGGAACGUAUCCAAGAGGUGGGGGAUAACGUAGCGAAAGUUACGCUAAUACCGCAUACGAUCUCAGGAUGAAAGCAGGGGACCGCAAGGCCUUGUGCUCCUGGAGCGGCCGAUAUCUGAUUAGCUAGUUGGUGAGGUAAAGGCUCACCAAGGCGACGAUCAGUAGCUGGUCUGAGAGGACGACCAGCCACACUGGGACUGAGACACGGCCUAG
RNAcentral lists this ribosomal RNA (303 nucleotides) under uncultured bacterium. Its description in RNAcentral is "bacterial SSU rRNA". It matches the Rfam family "Bacterial small subunit ribosomal RNA", at positions 28 to 334 of the family's 1533-position model. The record is from RNAcentral.